RNAcentral lists this ribosomal RNA (440 nucleotides) under uncultured bacterium. RNAcentral describes it as "partial 16S ribosomal RNA". It matches the Rfam family "Bacterial small subunit ribosomal RNA", at positions 338 to 795 of the family's 1533-position model. The record is from RNAcentral.
CCUACGGGGGGCUGCAGUGGGGGCUAUUGCACAAUGGGGGAAACCCUGAUGCAGCGACGCCGCGUGGGUGAAGAAGCGCCUCGGCGCGUAAAGCCCUGUCAGCAGGGAAGAAAAUGACGGUACCUGUAGAAGAAGCCCCGGCUAACUACGUGCCAGCAGCCGCGGUAAUACGGAGGGGGCAAGCGUUAUCCGGAUUUACUGGGUGUAAAGGGGGCGCAGACGGCGCUGGAAGCCAGGAGUGAAAGCCCGGGGCCCAACCCCGGGACUGCUCUUGGAACGGCGUGGCUCGAGUGCAGGAGGGGCAGGCGGAAUUCCUGGUGUAGCGGUGAAAUGCGUAGAUAUCAGGAGGAACACCGGUGGCGAAGGCGGCCUGCUGGACUGCAACUGACGUUGAGGCCCGAAAGCGUGGGGAGCAAACAGGAUUAGAUACCCUUGUAGUC